CCAGACUCCUACGGGAGGCAGCAGUGGGGAAUAUUGGACAAUGGGGGGAACCCUGAUCCAGCGACGCCGCGUGAGUGAAGAAGUAUUUCGGUAUGUAAAGCUCUAUCAGCAGGGAAGAAAGAAAUGACGGUACCUGACUAAGAAGCCCCGACUAACUACGUGCCAGCAGCCGCGGUAAUACGUAGGGGGCAAGCGUUAUCCGGAUUCACUGGGUGUAAAGGGAGCGUAGACGGCCGUGCAAGCCAGGAGUGAAAGCCCGGGGCCCAACCCCGGGACUGCUCUUGGAACUGUGCGGCUGGAGUGCGGGAGGGGCAGGCGGAAUUCCUGGUGUAGCGGUGAAAUGCGUAGAUAUCAGGAGGAACACCGGCGGCGAAGGCGGCCUGCUGGACCGCGACUGACGUUGAGGCUCGAAAGCGUGGGGAGCGAACAGGAUUAGAUACCCUGGUAA
RNAcentral lists this ribosomal RNA (448 nucleotides) under uncultured bacterium. Its description in RNAcentral is "bacterial SSU rRNA". It matches the Rfam family "Bacterial small subunit ribosomal RNA", at positions 331 to 793 of the family's 1533-position model. The record is from RNAcentral.